This 115-nucleotide ribosomal RNA is filed under the name Mesoptychia bantriensis. RNAcentral's name for it is "partial 5.8S ribosomal RNA". It matches the Rfam family "5.8S ribosomal RNA", at positions 40 to 153 of the family's 154-position model. Rfam says of the family: 5.8S ribosomal RNA (5.8S rRNA) is a component of the large subunit of the eukaryotic ribosome. It is transcribed by RNA polymerase I as part of the 45S precursor that also contains 18S and 28S rRNA. Lineage: Eukaryota; Viridiplantae; Streptophyta; Jungermanniopsida; Jungermanniales; Jungermanniaceae. The record is from RNAcentral.
AAGAACGCAGCGAAAUGCGAUACCUAGUGUGAAUUGCAGAAUUCCGCGAAUCAUCGAGUCUUUGAACGCAAGUUGCGCCCGAGGCUUGUCCCGAGGGCAUGCCUGCCUGAGCGUC